Pelobates cultripes (western spadefoot toad) is the source of this 221-nucleotide non-coding RNA. The record is from the annotation of a GenBank genome assembly. NCBI's taxonomy places the organism in Eukaryota, Metazoa, Chordata, Amphibia, Anura, Pelobatidae.
UUUGGCAGUGGGUCAGUAAUGGUGUGGGUGGCCGCACCAGCACUCCAUGUGCUCGCCAGAGGUAGCUUGGCUGCCAUUAGGUACUGAGAUGAGAUCCUCAGACCCCUUGUGAGACCAUAUGCUGUGCUCCCCGUCACUUCCUAAGCCCCCAUUGUCCUCCCUCACUCUAUGGGGGUCAAUAUGAUUAAAAUCUCCCCAAUGCCCCUACUCGCUAUUCCGCG